GAUGAACGCUGGCGGCGUGCCUAAUACAUGCAAGUAGAACGCUGAAGGAAUGAGCUUGCUCUUUCCGGAUGAGUUGCUAACGGGUGAGUAACGCGUAGGUAACCUGCCUGGUAGCGGUGGAUAACUAUUGGAAACGAUAGCUAAUACCGCAUAACAGUAGAUGUUGCAUGACACCUAUUUUAAAGGGGCAAUUGCUCCACUACCAGAUGGACCUCCGUUGUAUUAGCUAGUUGGUUAGGUAACGGCUCACCAAGGCGACGAUACAUAGCCGACCUGAGAGGGUGAUCGGCCACAAAGGGACUGAGAAACGGCCCAGAACACUAAGGGAGGCAGCAGGAGGGAAUCUUCGGCAAUGGACGGAAGUCCGACCGAGCAAAGACGCGUGAGUGAAGAAGGGUUUCGGAUCGUAAAGCUCUGUUGUAAGAGAAGAAAGAGUGUGAGAGUGGAAAGUUCACACUGUGACGGUAUCUUACCAGAAAGGGACGGCUAACUACGUG
This 497-nucleotide ribosomal RNA is filed under the name uncultured bacterium. Its description in RNAcentral is "partial 16S ribosomal RNA". It matches the Rfam family "Bacterial small subunit ribosomal RNA", at positions 28 to 507 of the family's 1533-position model. The record is from RNAcentral.